Molecule: long non-coding RNA, 3037 nt
Organism: Bos taurus (domestic cattle)
Lineage: Eukaryota; Metazoa; Chordata; Mammalia; Artiodactyla; Bovidae
Source: Ensembl
CCUACGGGGCGGCUCGGGACUCCGAGCCAGGGACCCUCCCCUUCCGGCCCCUGUGAAGUGUUUCUUCUCUAAUCUGCUGGAUGGGACCUCAACAGAGUUACAAAUAAGAAUAAAAGCUACCCGAGCUCUAGAAAAGCGAACGCUGACCCCGACGUGAUUUGAACACGCAACCUUCUGAUCUGGAGUCAGACGCGCUACCGUUGCGCCACGAGGUCGGCCGGCCACGGGGGUGGACAGGUCUCCCCAUGACGACUGGACGGAGUUCUGUCUUCUCUCUUUAUGCUGCACACCUUCCCUGGAGUAAACCCUUCCCUGGAGUCAGCCAUCACUUUUGUGCUGAGGGCUCCUGAAUCCUGCUCCCACCUCUCUGGAUUCAGUCUAGUGCCUGCUGGACACCUUCACUUGACCCUGUCAUCCUUCGAAAACUUCCCACCUCAGGCGGGACUCAAACCCACAAUCUCCCAGCUGAAACAGUACACCUCCUGUCAGGACUUAUGAAGCUGAGGUUCUUUAUGUCUCCACAUAGAAGGAAUUCAGGGAGAGGCAAAGAGAUAGGUAAGAAGUAGAUCUAUUGAGAGAGACAUGAGUUUGAGUAGGCUCCAGGGCCUGGCGUGCUGCAAAGAGUCGGACACAGCUGAGCGACUGAACUGAACACGAUCCAUAAAAAGUGUGGGCCAUCUCUGAAAGAGCACUGGGAAAUAUGUGGUAAGUUUUUAUGGGCUGAGUAAUUUCAGAGGGUAACAUUUGGGAGGAUUAUUCUAACUACUUAGGGAAGGGGUGAGGAUUUCCAGAAAUUGGGCCACUGCCCCCCUUUUUGGCUUUUUAUGGUCUGCCUCAGAAGUGUCAGGGUACCUGUGGGUGUGUCCUUCAACAUGUUAAUAUACAGGAUGGGCAUGUAAUAAGGUUUAAGGUCUACUGGAAGUUGAAUCUUCUGCCAUCUUGCGCCUGAACGGUUCUAACCAUUUUUCUCUCCUAUCCAGUUCUCAGUAGCUGCGUCAUUCUUGUAAAGGUUGCGCCCUGUCCCCUUCCCUCUUGUCUCAUUUCCUUCCCAGUCUUCUGCACUCUCAGUUAGAGGCCAAGCUGAGGCUUGGAUUCAUCUUGACUCUUCCCCCUUCCUCGCUUCCCAUUUCUAGUCACCAAGUUCACUCAAUUUCAUUUCCUUCAUAAUUCUGUUAGCCCUCAUUCCCUAUUCCCACUGCCAUCUCGCUGGAUGACUGUAGUAGACUCCUCCCUAAUGUCUCUGUCUCCAGAAUAGUCAAAGACAAUCAUCUUUUAAAAUGCUAACAUGAUUCCAUCAUGCUGUGGCUUAAAAUCAAUGCCCCAUUGAAACUGCACAACUCAGACGGGAUUCAAACCCAGCCAAAACUGAUUGGGACUUGAACCCUUGGGUUAGGACUUGAACCCACAGUCUUCUAGUUAAAAUUGCUCACCUGGUGUGAAAAACUGAUGGGAAAUGUUCAAUGGUUGCUUCAGUCUGCCUACUCCUGAACUCGAAGCUCAGAUUAAACGCCAGAAAAAGAGAGACAAGCAAACCUGGUGUGCUGCCUGUUAAAAGCCCAAGGCACUAGUCAUGUACAUUUUCAAGACAAAGGAUCCUACAUUAAAAUGCCAGACUGAUAAUUUACACAAGGUUUACCAAGGUAACAGUCCAAGAAAGCAUUUACAAAGUGAGCAACAAGUCACCAUGACUCCCAGCUGAAACAGUACACCUCCUGUCAGGACUUAUGAAGCUGAGGUUCUUCAUAACCCUCUACAGAGUUGAGAAAGAAUGCUAUUCUUUUAAGUUUUAAGAAGUAACAACAGCAAACAAAAGUUACACUGUAGCAUUAGAAGAAAGGGGAAAAAAUUGAUCUGUAUAGUUGAGCAGUCACUCCCAUCUGGUUAAUAUGUAACGCAGGUGCACACUUGCACAUUAGGGAGGGAAGGGCGAGGCCCAAACAAACACACAGAGAGAAUUUUAUGUUCAGUUUUUCUUGUCCUGUCUUUAAAUAUAAAUUUUGUUUUAUCACCAGAGUGAGGGAAUUCAAGGCUAAGAUAGCUACAUAACAAACUUUGCUACUUCUUUAGUUUGCUACCCCAAGCACAAACCCCUUUGUUAAUUCUUCACAAACAAUAUUUCUUUGUCAAAAAACAACAUAUAAACAGCCUCCUUUGGUCUCUUUGGUGGUCCUUUUUCUGUGAGAUUUCCCUGUGUUUGAAUUAAAUUGGAUUUUUUUCCUCCUAUCAAUCUAUCUUAUGUUAAUUUAAUUAUUAGAUCAGCUAAAAGAACUCAAGACAGUGGGAUGAAAAUUUCCUCCGCCUGGACAGAACUAUUUGGUGAUGUCUGGGAUUUGCUUCAAAAUAAUCCAGUGGGACUGGGACGCAGAAUAUAGCUGAAACAAGGUUGGCCAUGUGUUGGUAAUUGCUGAAACAGAAUGGUAGGCUUCAAAAGGGGUCAUAACCUUUUGAAUGAAAAAUACUUUACUUUUACAUACAAUAUGUUUGAAUAUUUCUGACUUAAAAAACGCAUUUCUAAAUUAUUUUAUGGCCAGUUCAAAUAUCGGAACAUGUGAGUUCCAGCCCUGGGUCGAGUGGCCGAAGGACCCUUGGUCACUGGCACUACCACCUGUGGCCACAAGGUGGCUCCAAAACUCUCUUUGGUGAGUGUGAAGCAGGCUUCUCUGAACCAAAGACAUGGAAAGUGAGCCACCAGGGAAGUCGAUUAAAUGCCUGCUGUUUACCAGUUCACAAAGUGAAUUUAUCUUCCUGUUCUUACUAGCUAUAGGUACCCAGGCAGGAAGGCUGUUACGCGCAGAAUGCCCCAAACUUCAAGCUGCUGGAUCCCAAAAUCUAACAGUCAUCCCUUCCUUCUCUCACCCACACACAUUCCCAGGUUCAGACUUUAUCUUCUAAGACUCUGUAGAUUGCUUCCACUUCACUCCACCUCUUUCACUCCGACACUAUUGACUCUAUUAUUUUGGCUAGAGACCUUAUUCAGAUUUUGCCAAUUUUUCCACUAAUGUCCUUUAUAAUAAAUUUUAUUUUUCUGAUCCAGGAC